GAUGAACGCUGGCGGCGUGCUUAACACAUGCAAGUCGAACGGUGAAGCAGAGCUUGCUCUGUGGAUCAGUGGCGAACGGGUGAGUAACACGUGAGCAACCUGCCCCUGACUCUGGGAUAAGCGCUGGAAACGGCGUCUAAUAUUGGAUAUGAGCUGCGACCGCAUGGUCAGCAGUUGGAAAGAUUUUUCGGUCUGGGAUAGGCUCACGGCCUAUCAGCUUGUUGGUGAGGUAAUGGCUCACCAAGGCGUCGACGGGUAGCCGGCCUGAGAGGGUGACCGGCCACACUGGGACUGAGACACGGCCCAGACUCCUACGGGAGGCAGCAGUGGGGAAUAUUGCACAAUGGGCGAAAGCCUGAUGCAGCAACGCCGCGUGAGGGAUGACGGCCUUCGGGUUGUAAACCUCUUUUAGCAGGGAAGAAGCGAAAGUGACGGUACCUGCAGAAAAAGCGCCGGCUAACUACGUG
Molecule: ribosomal RNA, 467 nt
Filed under: uncultured bacterium
Lineage: Bacteria
Description: partial 16S ribosomal RNA
Rfam family: Bacterial small subunit ribosomal RNA
Source: RNAcentral